Molecule: ribosomal RNA, 374 nt
Filed under: uncultured bacterium
Lineage: Bacteria
Description: bacterial SSU rRNA
Rfam family: Bacterial small subunit ribosomal RNA
Source: RNAcentral
GACGAACGCUGGCGGCGUGCUUAACACAUGCAAGUCGAGCGGUAAGGCCCUUUCGGGGGUACACGAGCGGCGAACGGGUGAGUAACACGUGGGUGACCUGCCCUCAGCUCUGGGAUAAGCCUGGGAAACUGGGUCUAAUACCGGAUAUGACCCCAUGACGCAUGUCGGUGGGGUGGAAAGCCUUGUGCGGCUGAGGAUGGGCCCGCGGCCUAUCAGCUUGUUGGUGGGGUGAGGCCUACCAAGGCGACGACGGGUAGCCGCCUGAGAGGCGACCGGCCACACUGGGACUGAGACACGGCCCAGACUCCUACGGGAGGGCAGCAGUGGGGAAUCUUGCGCAAUGGGCGAAAGCCUGACGCAGCGACGCCGCGUGA